RNAcentral lists this ribosomal RNA (253 nucleotides) under uncultured bacterium. Its description in RNAcentral is "partial 16S ribosomal RNA". It matches the Rfam family "Bacterial small subunit ribosomal RNA", at positions 524 to 776 of the family's 1533-position model. The record is from RNAcentral.
UACGGAGGGGGCUAGCGUUGUUCGGAAUUACUGGGCGUAAAGGGCGCGUAGGCGGUCAGUCAAGUCUGAUGUGAAAUCCCUCGGCUCAACUGAGGAAUGGCAUUGGAAACUGGCUGGCUAGAGUACCGGAGAGGGAAGCGGAAUUCCUGGUGUAGCGGUGAAAUGCGUAGAUACCAGGAGGAACACCGGUGGCGAAGGCGGCUUCCUGGCCGAGUACUGACGCUGAGGAGCGAAAGUGUGGGGAGCGAACAGG